CAGAAAAUAGUUUAGUGCAGAAUGCCAGCUUUGGGAGCUGGUGGUGAGGGUUUGACUCCCUCUUUUCUGA
RNAcentral lists this transfer RNA (70 nucleotides) under Streptopelia decaocto (Eurasian collared-dove). RNAcentral describes it as "tRNA-Pro". It matches the Rfam family "tRNA". Rfam says of the family: Transfer RNA (tRNA) molecules are approximately 80 nucleotides in length. Their secondary structure includes four short double-helical elements and three loops (D, anti-codon, and T loops). The record is from RNAcentral. Lineage: Eukaryota; Metazoa; Chordata; Aves; Columbiformes; Columbidae.